CCUACGGGAGGCAGCAGUGGGGAAUUUUGGACAAUGGGCGAAAGCCUGAUCCAGCCAUUCCGCGUGCAGGAUGAAGGCCCUCGGGUUGUAAACUGCUUUUGUACGGAACGAAAAGCCUUCUUCUAAUACAGGAGGGUCAUGACGGUACCGUAAGAAUAAGCACCGGCUAACUACGUGCCAGCAGCCGCGGUAAUACGUAGGGUGCAAGCGUUAAUCGGAAUUACUGGGCGUAAAGCGUGCGCAGGCGGUUAUGUAAGACAGAUGUGAAAUCCCCGGGCUCAACCUGGGAACUGCAUUUGUGACUGCAUAGCUAGAGUACGGUAGAGGGGGAUGGAAUUCCGCGUGUAGCAGUGAAAUGCGUAGAUAUGCGGAGGAACACCGAUGGCGAAGGCAAUCCCCUGGACCUGUACUGACGCUCAUGCACGAAAGCGUGGGGAGCAAACAGGAUUAGAUACCCUGGUAGUCCACGCCCUAAACGAUGUCAACUGGUUNUUGGGUCUUCACUGACUCAGUAACGAAGCUAACGCGNGAGUGACGCGNGGAGGACGCGCGAGUAGAAGUAAAGAAGUAGACGNGNGAGAGNGCGAGACGACGACGAGGGAGGAGG
Molecule: ribosomal RNA, 607 nt
Filed under: uncultured bacterium
Lineage: Bacteria
Description: bacterial SSU rRNA
Rfam family: Bacterial small subunit ribosomal RNA (bases 1-539)
Source: RNAcentral